CUGACCAGCUCUCCUGACGGCGACCUUCGUCGUGGCUGUGGGUCACUGCAGGACCCAACUGAUGCAUCAGGACUCCUGACCCCGGGCUGCAGAGCUCUAGUGAAUGUGGCCUGUGUUCUGUGUGGCGCAUCUAGACACACCACUCUUCUCCAGGACAACAAACUCUUGGUAGCUAUCCAGGGAAUUUAUUUAUUUGAGUGGUUCUGGUUUUUCCAGGGAAGAAAAAACUGCAACACUUUACAGCUGCUCUUUGGGACUGACGGACAAUUGAUGCAUUUAGUUUUCUUAACUGCAGACAGAGGUGUUGAAAGCCCAACUCAAGAGAAGGCAAGGACAAAUCAAUCUCCGAGAUGACGUGGGUUGGGUGAGGAAAGUAUAAAUAGGAAAAAUAUUUCCUUCACAAUAGCAACACAACUCAUGAAAUACACAGAAAUAAGAGAGUAAAUGAGUGUAUGAAUUAUAUGAAGAAAACUAUGGAACUCUACCAAGGAGUCUUAAUGCCUGGUGAGAUGUCCAUUUUCAUGGGGUGAUUCAACACCAGGAAGAAGCCUUUUCUCCCCACAUCAAUCUACAGAGUCAGAGAAACUCUAGUAGGAUUCUAAUAGGAUAUUUAUUGAAUUGUGACAAAGAAUUUCAAAAGUUCAUUGGGUAUGAAAUAAAAAUGAGAUAAUCUCAGAAAAUUUUAAAGAAGAAUAAUUGUUAGGAGGGUCAGCCUGACUAGCCACUCCAAUAAGAAGUAAGAGUAACUUAAACAGAAUGGUACUGAUGUGAGCAUGGGCAAGACCAGGAGAAGAGCACGGUCGUGACGCAACCCCAAGCACACACUGGAAAUGGAACAGGACAGAGACGGCAUCACUCGGCAGAAGAGCCCCACCCCAGUACAUAGCUGUGUAUUUUUAGUUGUGGGUCCCUCUAGUUGUGGCAUGUGGGACACCGCCUCAGCAUGGCCUGAUGAGUGGUGCCAUGUCCUCGCCCAGGAUCCGAACUGGGGAAACCCUGAGCCGGCCAAGCGGAGUGCCGAACUUAACCACCCGGCUGUGGGGCCAGCCCCACUAUAUUCAUCAUUCUUAACAGCUCCGGUAACAGUUGC
Molecule: long non-coding RNA, 1090 nt
Filed under: Equus caballus (horse)
Lineage: Eukaryota; Metazoa; Chordata; Mammalia; Perissodactyla; Equidae
Description: lncRNA (ENSECAG00000043289.2)
Source: RNAcentral